AUACCUUUCUCGGCCUUUUGGCUAAGAUCAAGUGUAGUAUCUGUUCUUAUCAGUUUAAUAUCUGAUAUGUGGAUCAUGUGUCCAUUUUGAUAUUAUAAAAUUAAUUUUUAAUGGGGGAAGGCUCAUAAUAGUAGCUUGCUACUAAGGUCUUCAAGUGUCGCUUGGGUAUUGCACUAUUGCCUUAGUCUGGCGCACCCCAA
RNAcentral lists this small nuclear RNA (200 nucleotides) under Sorghum bicolor (sorghum). RNAcentral describes it as "U2 spliceosomal RNA". It matches the Rfam family "U2 spliceosomal RNA". Rfam says of the family: U2 is a small nuclear RNA (snRNA) component of the spliceosome (involved in pre-mRNA splicing). Complementary binding between U2 snRNA (in an area lying towards the 5' end but 3' to hairpin I) and the branchpoint sequence (BPS) of the intron results the bulging out of an unpaired adenosine, on the BPS, which initiates a nucleophilic attack at the intronic 5' splice site, thus starting the first of two transesterification reactions that mediate splicing. The record is from Rfam by way of RNAcentral. Lineage: Eukaryota; Viridiplantae; Streptophyta; Magnoliopsida; Poales; Poaceae.